GAUGAACGCUGGCGGCGUGCCUAAUACAUGCAAGUCGAGCGAACAGACGAGGAGCUUGCUCCUCUGACGUUAGCGGCGGACGGGUGAGUAACACGUGGAUAACCUACCUAUAAGACUGGGAUAACUUCGGGAAACCGGAGCUAAUACCGGAUAAUAUAUUGAACCGCAUGGUUCAAUAGUGAAAGACGGUUUUGCUGUCACUUAUAGAUGGAUCCGCGCCGCAUUAGCUAGUUGGUAAGGUAACGGCUUACCAAGGCAACGAUGCGUAGCCGACCUGAGAGGGUGAUAGGCCACCCUGGAACUGGAACACGGUCCAGACUCCUAAGGGAGGCAGCAGUAGGGAAUCUUCCGCAAUGGGCGAAAGCCUGACGGAGCAACCCCGCGUGAGUGAUGAAGGUCUUCCGAUCGGAAAACUCUGUUAUUAGGGAAAAACAAAUGUGUAAGUAACUAUGCACGUCUUGACGGUACCUAAUCAGAAAGCCACGGCUAACUACGUG
This 497-nucleotide ribosomal RNA is filed under the name uncultured bacterium. RNAcentral describes it as "partial 16S ribosomal RNA". It matches the Rfam family "Bacterial small subunit ribosomal RNA", at positions 28 to 507 of the family's 1533-position model. The record is from RNAcentral.